Molecule: small RNA, 28 nt
Filed under: Bombyx mori (domestic silkworm)
Lineage: Eukaryota; Metazoa; Arthropoda; Insecta; Lepidoptera; Bombycidae
Description: ovarian small RNA-18607
Source: RNAcentral
UAACAGCGCAAUUGCCCUGGUCGUUGGA